RNAcentral lists this ribosomal RNA (305 nucleotides) under uncultured bacterium. Its description in RNAcentral is "bacterial SSU rRNA". It matches the Rfam family "Bacterial small subunit ribosomal RNA", at positions 333 to 652 of the family's 1533-position model. The record is from RNAcentral.
AUGGGCCUACGGGAGGCAGCAGUGGGGAAUAUUGGGCAAUGGGCGCAAGCCUGACCCAGCAACGCCGCGUGAAGGAAGAAGGCUUUCGGGUUGUAAACUUCUUUUCUCAGGGACGAAGCAAGUGACGGUACCUGAGGAAUAAGCCACGGCGAACUACGUGCCAGCAGCCGCGGUAAUACGUAGGUGGCAAGCGUUAUCCGGAUUUACUGGGUGUAAAGGGCGUGUAGGCGGGAAAGCAAGUCAGAUGUGAAAACCACGGGCUCAACCUGUGGCCUUCCUUUGAAACUGUUUUUCUUGAUUACUGG